AUGGCAUCAAAUCAGCCAAUAAACAAGUCCUCAAUUAUGGCCAUGGCUUGGGGAUUAUUCAAUGAUGGUGCUGGGGUGCUUUCCAACCUCAAUGCAUGUCACGAAUUCUUCAGCUGGACGGCAUCAAUUAUAAGCGCCAUUCGUUAUCGACAAAGCGCCUCAGAAUCGUCAGACAGAGACAAGACAGAUGCACAACCACAUGAUAAAGGGAAAUUUGAUCGGCUGGAGGUUGAUCUUUGGAAGCUGAAGACAACAAUGCCCAAGAUGCUUGACCUCAUUGAUCGCGUCGAGUUUCUAAGCCAUAAGGAACAAGCGGCUACUCUCCUCCCGGAUAUUAAAGGUGCAGUGUUCGAUGCGGAGGACCUGCUUGAUGAGUUUGAUUAUGAUGUACUCAAGUUGAAGGUUCAAUGCAGCAAGAAUUUGGAGCCAGAUCAUUAUAAUGACACCUUUCUGGAAUUCUUUGACAGAUCCAGUGAUUACGUAAGACAAGUCAACAUGAUUCAAGAAAAAUUAGAUCAUGUUCAUAAGCAAGCCAUGGAUAUGGGCUUGCACCAAGCACCGCGGAAGUUUGAUAAAUCAGUUAGGCCAGAAACAACUACCAACUUUAAUUGUGUCGAAAAAAUGGUUGGUCGUGAAAAAGAAAUGAAGGAGUUGGUGGAAAGACUAGGAGUUCGUGGACUGAAGAGAGGAAGAACUGAAAGCAAAGCAAAAAUGACAAAGUUGCAUGUGUUAUCCAUUGUUGGCAUGGGAGGUGUCGGAAAGACAACAAUGGCCCAACAAAUCUGCAAGAAUGCAAAUGUGAAGAAACACUUUGGCCCCAUAAUUUGGACAUGUGUUUCAGAUGACUUUGACACAAAAAGGUUAACGAAAGCGAUUAUAGAGGGCCUUGGAGGAGAUGCAUCAUCUGAUAAUCUGAAUGUUCUUAUGGAUAAACUAGAAGGUCGUGUCAAGUCCAAAAAGUUCUUGCUUGUCCUUGAUGACAUGUGGGAUGAUAUCUUGAAGGAUGAUGCGGCAGGGUGGAAGAGCUUGUGUGCAUGUUUGAAAAAUGGCGCUGAAGGGAGUAGGAUUUUGGUCACCACUAGAUUCCACGAUGUUGGUGAGCUAGUUGGCCCUACGAAUAAUUAUGAGUUAAAUGGCUUAGAACCAAAGGUAUUCUGGGAUUUCUUCAAAUCCUGUGCAUUUGGAUCCACGAGUUCUUGCAACGACCAGAAGUUAUCGGAGUUGAAGCGCAUUGGUGAAGACAUUAUUCCAAAGUUAAAGGGUUCCCCAUUAGCUGCCAAGACUAUUGGACGCUUGCUGAGAAUGGAGCUAAGUACAAUACACUGGAAAAAUAUAAAGGAAAGUGAACUUUGGAAAUUAAAACAAUCAGAUACUGACAUUCUGCCAGCCCUUCGAUUGAGCUAUUUGUAUCUACCGCAGAAACUGAAGAGAUGCUUCUCAAUCUGUGCAAUGUUUCCCAAGGAUCACAAAUUUGGGAAGGAUUUUCUAGCUGAUAUUUGGAUUGCACAAGGAUAUGUGGAGGGGCCCGAAGAAGCAUCAAUCUGCUUUAAUGCCCUUGCAAAUCGUUCAUUCUUCCAGAAACCAUCACCGCAGAGUCCUAAGUAUGUUAUUCAUGACCUGAUGCAUGAUACAGCACAACUAGUCUCAAAGGAUGAGUGCUUCAUUAUAAAGCAUGCAAGUGACCUAGAUAAAGUUCCUUCAAAUGUUCGUCAUCUGUCAAUAUUCACAAACGGAAAUUUUCGGUGUUCUGAAUUGAAGAGCAUAUGCGACAAGAAAACUUUGAGGUCCCUGGUAUGCGAUGAAUCAUAUAGCAAAGCAAAAGAUUUUGAGCCUGUGAUAAACUGUUGGUUCAGGGAGCUACCGAAAAUCCGUGUAUUGAGUUUUAAACUUUCCGGAGUACGACAGCUACCUGAGAGCAUGGGCAACUCAAAGCAUCUGCGUUACCUUUCUUUACUUGGAAGUGUUACUUUCAGCACAUUUCCAUUAUCAGUAUGUCGUCUGCAUCAUCUGAAUAAUAUAGACUCUAGCAGUUGUGUGAUUGAAAAGUUUCCUCCAGGCUUCAGUGAUGUCCUCAUCUUAGAGAAGAUCAAUUCAAAGGGUUUUAGUUAUAGCAAGGACCACUCUGGCAAACUCUGGCUAAAAUGGUGCCUUCCGCUGCAAAGUCCUGAGGCGGUGAAGAUAACGGAAAACCAGAUGGAAAUGUUACCUCACUGGAAUCUCCAACAUUUGCAGGUAAUUGACUACCCAGGUGAAUCUUGUCCUACCUGGCUCCAGCCCAACCUCCUGCCAAGGUUACGUUCUCUUGAGUUUACAGAUUGUAUCAACUUGAAGAGCAUACUAUUCUUUCUCCAGUUAGAUGAGUCACUUGGCAAUACAUCACGGUCAGAAAACAUUAAUCGUCUUGAAGAGUUAGUCAUAACAAGAUGUGAUGAAAUCAGUUGGCAAGGCUCGGUGGUCUUACCUACUUCUCUUAGAAAGAUAGUCCUUGAGAGACCGGGCUAUUCCAUGGAUCACUUCGUGAGCUGCUUCCUUGACCUCACCUCCCUCACUUAUUUGAAAUUUUAUCACUGCGACUCGUUGACAGCUAUCCCUCUACAUGUGUGGAGAAACAAUCUUCCAUCCCUGGAGGAACUAUUUAUCUUUUAUUGCAAUAACCUUACAUCGAUAGUCUCUGAAGCAAGUAGUAGCAGUAGCACCACCAAUGGCGGUAUUAAAGGAUUCUCAUCCCUUGCUACGAUAUGUAUUCAUCACUGUGAUAAAUUAUUGAGCUUGCAUGAAUUCUUGAAGCCUGAUUGUCUACCUGCCGUGAAGACCAUUGAGGUUUACUAUUGUGAAGAGUUGAUGUCGCUGUCUGUUGAUAGGCUCGACGGGUUGCAGCAGUUGACAAUUAGAGGUUCUGAUAAGCUCAAUAUGGAGAGAGCAAUGAUAUUACCAUGCUCUCUUAAGAAGCUCGACUUGAAUUGUUGUCAGGGCAUAGAAUCCAUCAACCUAGCCAAUGGCCAGUUGGCAAGUUCUCCAGUAUUGGAGGAACUUAGCAUUUACAACUGUUCAGGCCUCAAGUCCAUUGGUGGUGCAGCAGCUGUUGAUAAAAUAAAGAAAGUGAGAAUAGAUGAGUGCCACGAGCUCAAGGAAAUACAACAGCCGCUCUUUCACUGGUAUGUACAAUGA
This 3168-nucleotide ribosomal RNA is filed under the name Triticum aestivum (bread wheat). Its description in RNAcentral is "partial small subunit ribosomal RNA". The record is from RNAcentral. Lineage: Eukaryota; Viridiplantae; Streptophyta; Magnoliopsida; Poales; Poaceae.